AAGUCUGACGUCACAUAGACGGGCGGAGCUUAUACCGAUUUCAUUUAGUGUUUUCCUGGUUUAUGUGAUAAAAUAAGACUUUUCAGUUGAAUUGUUGAAGGAACGUACAAUUUAAGAGGUUUUUAUUAGUUUUUCACUAGAUCCUUUUGUUGUUAGAAAAUAAUGGCUUUUAAACAUGUCCUAAAACUUUCCAGCAUCAGUACUUUUAUAGAUGACACAACAAAAUUAUAAAGGAAGGGCUACACAGCUUUGGAAAUACUGUUGGUUUUACCUGGCUAUUGAAGGAGGAAUCAAUAAAUUUGCUGGAAAAUGGAUUUUCGAUAAUUGAAGAAAUAAUUUCUUCCAAAGACUUUUUGAAAGAUGAUCAUUUGAAGCAGAUUUAUAAUUUAAAUGUUUGCCAACUGGAGUAUGGCUAACAAAAUCAGGACUUCUUGGUGCUAGCCCUGAUGGAAUAAUUGAUGAAGAAGAAGCCAUUGUAGAAGUGAAAUGCCCAUAUUCUUUCAGAAACGAUAAGUUAUCAGAAAAAUUGAGGAAUUUUAAUAAAUAUAUAGUUUUUUAUGACGAUGAGGGUAACUUGAUCUUAAAUACAAGUCACAAUUAUUAUCACCAAAUUCAAGGAGCUAUACAUAUUUUAAAAAAGAAAAAAUGUUACUUAUGUAUUUAUACCUUUAAGGAAACUGUUGUGACAAUUGUAGAAAUUGACGAUUCAUGAAAAGAAAACAUUUCAUUCUUGGAAAAUUUCUAUAUAGAACAAAACUUACCAAAGUUGUUAGACAAUUGAAUAAAAAUUUUUGACAUGUUUUUCAAUGUGAUUUUAGGUUAUUCUACAAUGUUAGCAGAUAGAGUAUACGGUUGGAAAAAUCUUUACUAUUUAUUUUAGACUGUAAAGCCACUUCAUGCAAAUUUUUGUUGUUGAGGAUAUCAGGAAAUUAUAUUUUUUAAUAUAAAUGUACAAUGCCAUUUUGUCAAUAAAGAUUUUUGAAACAAA
Molecule: long non-coding RNA, 988 nt
Organism: Diorhabda carinulata
Lineage: Eukaryota; Metazoa; Arthropoda; Insecta; Coleoptera; Chrysomelidae
Exons: 2
Source: RefSeq, a predicted model, not a curated record